GUUGAGGGGACUGUUGUCUGGCUCGAGGUCAUCUAGAUAUGCAUGUUGCUAUUCGAUGUCUAUGUGAUCUCGGACCAGGCUUCAUUCCUCUAAAC
This 95-nucleotide microRNA precursor is filed under the name Zostera marina. RNAcentral's name for it is "mir-166 microRNA precursor family". It matches the Rfam family "mir-166 microRNA precursor family". From Rfam's summary of the family: This family represents the plant microRNA (miRNA) precursor mir-166. Animal miRNAs are transcribed as ~70nt precursors and subsequently processed by the Dicer enzyme to give a ~22nt product. The record is from Rfam by way of RNAcentral. Lineage: Eukaryota; Viridiplantae; Streptophyta; Magnoliopsida; Alismatales; Zosteraceae.